ACAACCCGAGAGAUCGGGCGGUUCCCCCUUCGGGGGGACAGGGUGACAGGUGGUGCAUGGUUGUCGUCAGCUCGUGUCGUGAGAUGUUGGGUUAAGUCCCGCAACGAGCGCAACCCUCGACCUUAGUUGCCAGCAUUCAGUUGGGCACUCUAAGGUGACUGCCGGCUAAAAGUCGGAGGAAGGUGGGGAUGACGUCAAAUCAUCAUGCCCCUUAUGACCUGGGCUACACACGUGCUACAAUGGGCGGUACAAAGGGUCGCGAACCCGCGAGGGGGAGCCAAUCCCAAAAAGCCGCUCUCAGUUCGGAUUGCAGGCUGCAACUCGCCUGCAUGAAGCCGGAAUCGCUAGUAAUCGCGGAUCAGCAUGCCGCGGUGAAUACGUUCCCGGGCCUU
This 392-nucleotide ribosomal RNA is filed under the name uncultured Anoxybacillus sp. RNAcentral describes it as "bacterial SSU rRNA". It matches the Rfam family "Bacterial small subunit ribosomal RNA", at positions 994 to 1382 of the family's 1533-position model. Lineage: Bacteria; Bacillati; Bacillota; Bacilli; Caryophanales; Anoxybacillaceae. The record is from RNAcentral.